AAACAAAAUAAAAAACUAAUAAGGAGGUAGGAACAGCACCAUCAUCUUUGGUUGUCUACAAAUAAACUGUUUUUUUUUUUUUUUUUUUUUUUUAA
Molecule: non-coding RNA, 95 nt
Filed under: Chattonella subsalsa
Lineage: Eukaryota; Raphidophyceae; Chattonellales; Chattonellaceae
Source: RNAcentral